This 74-nucleotide transfer RNA is filed under the name Dermacentor andersoni. Its description in RNAcentral is "transfer RNA isoleucine (anticodon AAU)". It matches the Rfam family "tRNA". From Rfam's summary of the family: Transfer RNA (tRNA) molecules are approximately 80 nucleotides in length. Their secondary structure includes four short double-helical elements and three loops (D, anti-codon, and T loops). Further hydrogen bonds mediate the characteristic L-shaped molecular structure. tRNAs have two regions of fundamental functional importance: the anti-codon, which is responsible for specific mRNA codon recognition, and the 3' end, to which the tRNAs corresponding amino acid is attached (by aminoacyl-tRNA synthetases). tRNAs cope with the degeneracy of the genetic code in two manners: having more than one tRNA (with a specific anti-codon) for a particular amino acid; and 'wobble' base-pairing, i.e. permitting non-standard base-pairing at the 3rd anti-codon position. The record is from RNAcentral. Lineage: Eukaryota; Metazoa; Arthropoda; Arachnida; Ixodida; Ixodidae. RNAcentral also lists the same sequence under 1 other name.
GGCCUGCUAGCUCAGUCGGUUAGAGCGUCGUGCUAAUAACGUGAAGGUCGUAGGUUCGAUCCCUGCGCAGGCCA